This 18-nucleotide small nuclear RNA is filed under the name Arabidopsis thaliana (thale cress). RNAcentral describes it as "snRNA_01413". Lineage: Eukaryota; Viridiplantae; Streptophyta; Magnoliopsida; Brassicales; Brassicaceae. The record is from RNAcentral.
CUCCCCAUUCGACCCGUC